GGGUGGUAAUGCCGGAUGCUCCAGUUGAUCGCAUGGUCUUCUGGGAAAGCUUUCGCGGUAUGGGAUGGGGUCGCGUCCUAUCAGCUUGACGGCGGGGUAACGGCCCACCGUGGCUUCGACGGGUAGCCGGCCUGAGAGGGCGACCGGCCACAUUGGGACUGAGAUACGGCCCAGACUCCUACGGGAGGCAGCAGUGGGGAAUAUUGCACAAUGGGCGCAAGCCUGAUGCAGCGACGCCGCGUGAGGGAUGGAGGCCUUCGGGUUGUAAACCUCUUUUAUCGGGGAGCAAGCGAGAGUGAGUUUACCCGUUGAAUAAGCACCGGCUAACUACGUGCCAGCAGCCGCGGUAAUACGUAGGGUGCAAGCGUUAUCCGGAAUUAUUGGGCGUAAAGGGCUCGUAGGCGGUUCGUCGCGUCCGGUGUGAAAGUCCAUCGCUUAACGGUGGAUCCGCGCCGGGUACGGGCGGGCUUGAGUGCGGUAGGGGAGACUGGAAUUCCCGGUGUAACGGUGGAAUGUGUAGAUAUCGGG
RNAcentral lists this ribosomal RNA (528 nucleotides) under Bifidobacterium longum subsp. infantis. RNAcentral describes it as "bacterial SSU rRNA". It matches the Rfam family "Bacterial small subunit ribosomal RNA", at positions 158 to 701 of the family's 1533-position model. The record is from RNAcentral. Lineage: Bacteria; Bacillati; Actinomycetota; Actinomycetes; Bifidobacteriales; Bifidobacteriaceae. RNAcentral also lists the same sequence under 1 other name.